GGGAGAAAGACCAAGUGCCACCUUUUGGAGUGGUAAUCCAAGGUUUGACCUAUUAACAGAGGGCACAUUUGCAGUGGUAGAGAUGCUUCAAGGCAAGCGGUGGGUUCCAGUUUAUGACGAUGAUGAUUUCAGCUUGUAUUUCAAGUGGAAAUUGGAUAAUAUUACCUUUUCUAGCUUAGCAACCAUCGAGUGGGAGGUGCCAAAGGAAGCUAGCUCUGGAGUUUACCGGCUAAGGCACUUUGGGUCAUUUAAGAAAACAUAUAAAUCCCCUGUCGAAUAUUUUACUGGUGCAUCCAGUGCUUUUACAGUGUCUUAG
RNAcentral lists this unclassified non-coding RNA (316 nucleotides) under Hevea brasiliensis (rubber tree). The record is from RNAcentral. Lineage: Eukaryota; Viridiplantae; Streptophyta; Magnoliopsida; Malpighiales; Euphorbiaceae.